UAAGUUUUAAAUAUGUUUUGUAGAGAGAGGGUCUUACUAUGUUACUCGGGAUGGUCUGGAAACCCCAGCCGUAUGUGACCCUCCUGCCUCUGCACUGGGGUUAUAGGAGUAAGGCGGUGCACCGGGUCUGGCUAUUUUUUACACGUGGUUUUGUUUUUCAUUUUCAAUGGCCAUUUUUCCUUGACUUUGGUUGCUUUGGAGCUUAAAAGCACAGUUCUUGGGAUGUGGCCACUGCAUUUGCGUCAUAGCACACAACCGCUCUCCUGAUCCUUUCAUUGCCAGUGAGACAUUUAUUUUUGCAAGUCUUCCAUCUCAGCUGAGUGGGAUGUGAAAUAGAACUGCUGGGGUCUGUGACUCUCCUUUCUCUCCUUUCCUGCCAGGGCCACUGCAGAACCUUUGGGCUCAGUCUCGUCACAGAUCUUUCUGCAGCUCUGCUGGCUAGAACUGAGGAGGGCAGGCGGUGGUGCAAAGCUUUGCCCCUUUUCUGGUAUUAUGGGUUGCAUUAUGUCCCACACCGCACCUACUGUGAUUGUGUUUGAAAGAAAGGCCUGUAAAGAGGCACCUAGAGAAAACGCUAUGUGAGGCCACAGUGAGAAGAGAGGCCUCACCAUAAACCAGCCCUGCUGGCACCUUGAUUCUAGAAUUCCAGCCUCCAGAAUUAUGAGAAAAUAAUUAUCCGUUGUUUCAGCCACCCAGUGCUUGGAAUUUCAUCAGGUUAGCCUGAGCCCUCUGCUGCAUUUAGUAAAGAAGAGUGAGAUCGGGGCUCCGUCACUCUUGUGCCCUGGAGCAGGCCUCCCGGGCCACCUCCUCAGCCUCCAUGCAGCCGCGCCCACCUCCCAACAGGACUCAGACCUUCCUAGUUACGGGGUUUGAGUGGUCUCAAUCCUCAGCAGUGAAAGCCAGUGUGCACAUUGAAUUCCUUGGGCCGCAGUGAUGAAUUCAGGAGUGAGCCUAUCGGUCCAAGCAGAGGGAAGCCCAAGGCUUUUGUUCAAUGGCUGAGGAAAGAGAAGUUCCCUCUCCUUGGAUGUAAGUGAGGAAGCCUGGAGUCUGGAAGCUACUGACAGACCUCUCACUACCACGAGGGCUUGAGGACCAGGACAGCAUGGUGCGACGGACCCAGUGGCACCCCCAGAGCUGCUGUUCUGAAGAAUGCCAUGAAUAUCUGGCCCAAACUGCACAGGACUUUUCACUUCCUUGACAACACAUCUCUUUCAUUGCUUCCUGGGACCUGCUGCUGAAAGCCUCCUAACUGGAACUCUCCUACCAACGGGUGCCCCCACAGCAGGCACGGUGAGCCUGCAGGAAUAGAAGGCUGGUUCCUGGUACUUUGCAGCUGGACUCCUUUUAGUGGCUUUCUGGUCUAGAUGGAGUAAAACCUGGGGUGUCUACUGGUAUUGGUAGUAUGAGGAAGUCAAGAGAUUUCCCUUGGCAGAAAGUAAGUAAAAAAUGGACAAAAUUAUUAAAGACAGUCAUUUCAGGCCAUUGGAAAAUGAUCAGAGACAAGGCAAAAUUUGCAAAGUUUACUCGUGAAACUGCUACAGCAUUUGCUAAGAACAGCGAUCUGUGGGUUCCCUGCCUGGAGGUAUUCUCUGAUUUUGGACAUCGCAAGAAAUAUACAUGUGGUCUUCAUCCCCGGCUCCUGACGCAGACCUACUAAGACUUCUAUGAUUUCCUGAAUAGUAAGGGUGCUAGGAGCCUCUCCUAUCCUAGCAUUUGGACUUUGAUGCCAGCUCCUGACACGCAGUUUCUAAGUCCCUUCGAUUUGCCUGGGUGAUAGGAGCCUCUUUUGUUCUAAUGAGGUGACUCUUGGUGGGCUCCUGGAUAGCUUUAGGACUGGGGAUGGUCACCAGAAAGACUGAGCCAUGAUGAGAAGAUUUGAACUUUUAUCUUCAAUCCCCGUCCUUUGGGGAGAAGAGAGGGACUGGAGAUUGAGUUAAUAGUUGUUCAUGCCUGUGUGGUGAAGCUUCCAUAAGAAUACCUGAAAGACGGGAUUUGGAGAUCUUCUCAGUUGGUGAACACAUGGAGGCGCUGGGAUGGUGGUGCACCCAUAAAGGGUGCGGGAGCUCUGCGCUGCUCCCGGGCACCUGCCUUCUGCACUUCUUCCAUCUGGUCGUUCCUGACUUGUAUCUUUUAUAAUAAACUGGUAAAUACAGACAAAUGUU
Non-coding RNA from Saimiri boliviensis boliviensis (Bolivian squirrel monkey), 2162 nucleotides. NCBI's taxonomy places the organism in Eukaryota, Metazoa, Chordata, Mammalia, Primates, Cebidae. The record is from RefSeq and is a predicted model, not a curated record.